RNAcentral lists this transfer RNA (69 nucleotides) under Paralithodes brevipes. Its description in RNAcentral is "tRNA-Asn". The record is from RNAcentral. Lineage: Eukaryota; Metazoa; Arthropoda; Malacostraca; Decapoda; Lithodidae.
UUGAUAGAAACCAAAAAAGAGGUGCGUCAUUGUUAAUGAUAAUAUUGAAUUAUAAUUAUUCCUAUCAAA